This 494-nucleotide ribosomal RNA is filed under the name Chrysolina brunsvicensis. RNAcentral describes it as "partial 16S large subunit ribosomal RNA". The stretch from base 370 to 494 matches the Rfam family "Bacterial large subunit ribosomal RNA", at positions 2473 to 2598 of the family's 2925-position model. The record is from RNAcentral. Lineage: Eukaryota; Metazoa; Arthropoda; Insecta; Coleoptera; Chrysomelidae.
UAAUUUAAGGUCUAACCUGCCCACUGAAUUUUUAAAUGGCCGUGGUAUUUUGACCGUGCUAAGGUAGCAUAAUCAUUAGUUUUUUAAUUAAAAACUGGAAUGAAAGGUUGAAUAAGAAAAUAACUGUCUCUAUUAAAUUUAAUUAGAAUUUUAUUUUUAAGUUAAAAAGCUUAAUUAAUAUUAAAAGACGAGAAGACCCUAUAGAGUUUAAUUAUUAAAUAAAAAUUAUAUUUUAGUAUUUAUAUAUUUAAUUUAUUAAAUAAUUUAAUUGGGGUGAUUGAAAAAUUUAUUAAACUUUUUUUAUUUUUUAACAUUUAUUUAUGAUUAAUUGAUCCAUUAUUUUUGAUUAUAAGAUAAAAUUACCUUAGGGAUAACAGCGUAAUUUUUUUAGAGAGUUCAUAUUAAAAAAAAAGAUUGCGACCUCGAUGUUGGAUUAAAAUAAAUUUUUGGUGUAGAAGCUAAAAUAUUAGGUCUGUUCGACCUUUAAAAUUUUA